CCUUCGGUAGUACAUGUCCAUGUCUCUCUUGGAGCAUAUAUUUGUUCAUUGAUUUUGAGAGCAUAUAUUUAUCGAUUGAUUUGUUAUUUUUCUCCUUGGUUUUGCAGGAGAGGUAAUCUACAUGCACACAAUUCCUCCGUGUUCUAUCUUCCUCUUGUUUGAUCUUUUAGUUUUUGUUUUCACAUUUUUUUCCCUGGUUACUUUGGUUUUGAUCUUGAAGUUGGCUGUUAUUUUAAUGAUCUGCAGCUACUAAUGAGUUGUUAGUUUUCACAAUAUUGAGACAAUAACUUUCUGUGUAAUAUCAAGCAAUCAGGUUUAUUUGGUACACUUCUUGCAAUGUGAAUUAUUUUCGAUUCAUUUUCUCUGGAGUUUUACAUUCUUUUAUUUUUCAAUAUUUCAUCGGUAUUGUUAUUCUUUUCAGGUUGAUUAUUUUGGGUUCUUGCUUCUGAGAUAUUAUUUGGUUGUUGUUGCAUUCAAACUUGGAGUUUUUUAAUGAUGAUACACUACGAUUAUAGAGUUCGUUAGGUUUUUAGUCGACUUGUUUUCUAAUUCCUCUUUGCGUCAAAUAUUAUUCUUCGAUUGAGUUCUAAUGUGAAUUUUCUUUUUAAUGUGUUUCAAUUUUGACAGCACACUUUGUUUUUAACCUGUAAUCUGGCACUGCAGAAAUUUACACGAUUCUGGAGAAAUUUUGACAGCUUUGUGGGGCUCUCUUUGUAAUUAUGACCUUUUAAUCAGUGACUUGGUUUGCCGAAUUAUUCUACUUUUCUUUAUUCUUGGUUUAUUCUACAACUAUUUGUCAUAGUAGUUUUGUUGUUCAUCUAUCUUCUUGUGUUCACGGUGCAAGUACCUAGAAGUCUCUAUCACACUGCACCUUGUUAAUUUUGUUGUGCUGCAGUUGGAGAUGAGUGCCUCUGUGCUUUGUACUACUUGUGUCCUGUGAGAUAUAAUUUUAUUAACAUUCCAUGUUUUUGGACUUUUGAUUAAAGGUUUUCUGCAAUGUGCUGCAUUCAUGGAAGUUAUACACGAUGCCAUUGGUGCCGAGCGGAGCAUUGUUUCCUCUUAUGCAAUGGACAAGAAGGGCUCAGUUUGUGGUUGUCAUUGUUCAGACUUUGAUGAAGUUUUAAUCUGUUCUACGGGUCACUUCACUUUCACUUCUUUAUGUUAUUGCCUUGAGUUUAUAUUGUUUAAUUUCAUGUGAAGCUUUUGUUUGUUUUUGCAAUUCAUUUGAUUCCUAACUCAGAAUUUUUGUUCUGUGCUUUCUCUUGGGCCAGGAGUUACCUUCUGUUUUUAUAACUAUUCUUGCAUGGAGUAUAGCCGAGGUGAUUUUUUUAUUGGAUUGGAUUCAUUUAUUUUUAGUAUGGUUCAUAUUCACCGAUAAGUAGACACACACUCGAGUCUGUCAUUACUCACUAAAAUGAUAAGUAUUAAGUUUAGAGGUGAUCAUUGCUUAAUAGAAUGAUCUUACAGAUCACGACAUAUAUCACAGAAAAUCAAAACAUUUGAAAACAAGAAAAUGCAAAUAACAAAGAGCACCUAAGAUAGAAAGCAAAUUAAGGAAAUUCAACCCCAUUUCAAUUAAAACUUAAGGGGAAUUUACACCUUAAUAAUCUGUGACAGGUAAUUGUUCAUAAGAGCUAGGGGUGAUGAAGAAAACAGAAGGCCCAACCAAUUAAAGGGCCGACCCAAUAAACCCAGUGAUUAGCCCUUUUCCAGCUAACAACAGAGGCCCAAAAGACACUGUUGGGUUCAUGGAAGCACCAUCAAAAGCCCCACCUGCCAAGAUGUUGGCUCGUACAAUAGACAUACACAAAUUAAUACUAAAAUUUAGCACAGAAAAUUUACUUGUAAUAACUAACAAGUUUGGUCUCUUAAACUAAAAUCUUUGAUCAAAUUAAAGAUUUUGAGUGGUCUUAUUAAUCUUCAAAAUUAAAACUAAUGUGAUCGAAUCUUUAAUUUUCGAUCGUAGUUUUUUAACCCAUUAACGUUCUAAGGUAUCCCCAAGGUUUAGGCUUUUCGGGUCCACUACAAGACUUAUUCUUGACUCGACAACUUGAACUUUAUUUCAGUAUCCAGAACCUGAGUAGUACUCUGUCACAAGGUACAACAUUCUGGAAUAACUCUUUUCCCUCCCUAGAUGAAAAUUUUUGGACAAUUUUGGUUACGUCAUAUGUGUUGUUUGCUCUGAUGAUUUGUUCGUUGGUGACAACUUAACUUUGUUCGGAGAGAUUUUCUCUAGUCUUCUUUUGCUUGUUUUUACUGUUAGUUGUGAUCUUUGAUGGUGACCAGAAUUUGCAAUUGGCUCUCUUCAUGUUUUUUGUUUGAGGAUGUAGUUUACUUGACUCAUUUGUUCGUUUCUGUGGAAGAGAUUAUCAAGGACAUAUUCUUGCUUUGGUGUUACAGGGGAGAGAGCCUGUGAAUGUUUUUGCUUGGUCAAUUUUCCUUGCAUCAACUUGGUGGGCCUCUCUUUGUACUACUUAUCCAAAUUGAUUUGAAGAAUUAUGCUACUAUUCCAUUGGGUGUGUCGAAUACUGAUCCACAUUGAUUUGAAGAAUUAUGCUACUUUUCCAUUGGGUGUGUCGAAUACUUCCAACUGUAAAAUGCUUAAAUUUGGUCAUUUCUACUAUGGCAUGGUUUAUUAUUUUUGGUUCCUGCUUUUGAGGUUUUGUUUGGUUUUUGUUGGUUUCAAACUUGGAGUUUACGGCUCUUGUUGGUUUCAAACUAUUAUUGAGUUUGUUAGGUUUUUCGUCGACUUAUUUUCUAGUUCAUCUUUUGUGUCAAAUAUUAUUCUUCCUUUCAUCCUUUGAGCAUGUACUCAUCAUCAGUGGUUUGCUUUUAAUAUUAUUUUUUUGCAGCACUUCUGAUGUGAAUUUUAUUUUUCGAUGUGUUACCAGUUUGGGAAGCACGCCUCGUUUUUAAUAUGUAAUCUGGAGAAAUUGGGACAGUUCUGUGGGACUCUUUGUAAUUAUGACCUUCUGAUCAGUGACUUGGUUUGGAGUAUUAUGCUACUUUUUCUUUCUGUUUUCUUGGUUUAUUCUACAACUAAUCGUCACAGUAAUUUUGUUGUGCAUGAAAAUGGAGAUUAGUGCCUUUGUGCUUUGUACUACCCGUGUCCUGUGAAAUAAUUAACAAGUACACAUGAACCAUCAUGUUUUACUGGAUGUGGUAUAUAGUUUCAACUGUGGCUGAGGUUAAUCUAACAAUCUGAUGAUUUCCAAUUGCCUCUGCGCUUUGUACUACUUCUGCAUCCUUUCUUCUCUCAUUCAUUCUUGGAAUAUAAUAGGUCUUUCUCUCCUAUGUGUGAGCUGGUGUUGAAGUUUUCGUGUCAUAAGGUUUCAGUAUCCAGAACCUCGGUACUACUCUGUCAUAAGUUUCUGUGGCAGAGAUUAUCAAGGACAUGUUCUUGCUUUGGUGCUACAGGGGAGAGAGCCUGUGAAUGUUUUUGCUCUGGUCAAUUUUCCUUGAACGCACUUGAUUCGGAAUACGUAAUCAUCAGGAUAGCUUCAGCUGUAUGUUGUACUCGUGUCCUGUGAAAUGAUUAAUAAGUGCACAUGAACCUCAUGUUUUGCUGGAUGUGGUAUAUAUUCUCAAUUGUGGCUGGCUUAAUCUGGCAAUCUGAUGAUUUUCAACUGCCUCUGCGCUUUUUUCUACUUCUGCAUGCAUGCUUCUCUCAUUCAUUCUUGGGAUAUAAUUGGUCUUUUUACUUACAUGUAUUUGUUCCCAAAUGAUAGUUCUUUGAUCGCGUGCAAGCUGGUGUUGAAGCUGUGCGUUUCAGUAUCCAGAACUUGAGUACUACUCUAUCAUAAGGUACAAGAUUCUGGAAUAACUCUUUUCCCUUCCCAGAUGAGAAAUUUUGGUUAUGUCAUAGGUGUUGUUUGCUCUGAUGAUUUAUUCGUUGGUGACAAUAGAUUCUUUUGCUAAUUUUUACUGUUAGUUGUGAUUUAUGAUGAUGAUGAUCCUAUAAAGAUAAUGUUUUCAUUACAGUGGCCUGGGACUCCUAUGUUUUAGGAGGAAGCCAAAAGUGUGUCAGAAAUGUGUAGUUUGUUGUGGAACCCAUGGCAGACAGGUUCACAUUGUUGUGGAAAUGUGUGGGAUAUAAUUGGUCUUUUCUUCUGGUUCUAUCUUUCUUUUGUUUGAUAUUCAUGGUUUGUAAUCUUAUUUUUUUCUUGUCUUUUGAUCCUCAUGUUUGUUUUGUAAUCUUAUUUUUUUUUGGUCUUUUGAUUUGGUUCUGGCUUUGACCGCCAUAUGUGAAUUGAAAUAUGACGUUGUUUUCUGCAGUGUAGUGUCUUUUGAAACAAUAACAUUCUAAGUAGUAUCGAGCCUCGGGUUUAUUUUGCUACCAUGUACUUGGGUUGUGAAUUAUUUUCAUUUCUAUAUUGUCUAGUCGAUUUAUUUCUUUGAUCUACAUUUGGCUUUUUGAUCUGAAUUCUGACAGUGCAAAAGUUUACAUGAUUCUUGAGGAGUUGGGAUAACUUGGUGGUCCUCUCUUUGUAAUGUUGAUCUGCAACUUGGUUUGAAGAAUUAUGCUACUAUUCUUCUUCUUUAUUUUUCUACAACCUAUUUUCACAGCGUAAUUGUUCUGUUAAUGUAUCAUGUGGUAUUGGCAGAGCAAAUUUUACAUGGGUUUGGUGUGUUACAAAAGUCUUCAUCUUUUGCAAUCAACCUACACCUUUUCAAUUAGCUUCAUGGAAUGUAGAACAUUGGAGAUGAGUUUCUUUGCCGCUUUUCUGUGAACAAAUUAACAAGGACACAUGAAUCAUUAUUUUUUAUGGUCGUGUUAUAUAAUUGCUAGGCUUUAAUUUGGGGUUCUCUUCUCGGAAUAUGAAUUAUUUACAUUUCAUUAUGUCCAUUUCAGCAUCCCCGCUUCUCGAUUCCAUUGUGAAAGCUUAGAGAGAGGUUAUCACAAACUACCUUUAGUUUUGCAUUUUUUCUAGUGUUGAAGUUUUUGUGUUUCUAUCCGGAACUUCAGUUUUACUCUGUGGUUUUGCAUACAAGCUUCCGGAGUAACUCUUCCCUUCCCAAGGAUGAGGAGUUUUGGUCAACUUGGUUAGGUGUUUGUUAUGAUUAUUUGUUUGUUGGGGAUAAAUUGGCUAAGGGAGAGAUGAUAUUCUUCUAGUGUUAUUUUCGUUGUUAUUUUGUAUUUAUGAUGUGUACUCCUAAAAUGAUAUCGUCAUUGUUACAGUGGCUGGCUCUAGGAAUUAUCUGGUAUUGCAUGUGGCAAGAUAUAAUCGGUAAUUUGGUCUGUGGCAGGCAAGCAGAGGUUGACAUACUAAUACUAUCCAUUGAAUUCAGCCUUGAGAUAAAACAUAAAUUUCAUAACGGGAAGCCUAAAAAAUUGUCAUUUCACAUGGAGCUUUGCAAUUAACUGUGGCAUAUAUUUCACAUUGUUAUAUUUUGAAGCAUUUGGUGAUUUCUAUUUUGACUAUGAAUUCUUCAUGUUUCUGUCUCUUGAAUUUAGUUUUCUUAACCUACUUUCCAUUCAAUUCAGCUUUGGGAUCUUUCAUGGUUUUACGUAAUAUUUGCUGCAUCUUGCUAGUCUUGGUGAUUUUGUGAUUUUGUAUUUUAUUCUACAACUAUUUGUCAUAGUAGUUUUGUUGUUCAUGUAUCUUCUUGUGUUCACAGUGCAAGUACCUAGAAGUCUCUAUCACACUGCACCUUGUUAAUUUUGUUGUGCUGCAGUUGGAGAUGAGUGCCUUUGUGCUUUGUACUACUUGUGUCCUGUGAAAUAUAAUUUUAUUAACAUUCCAUGUUUUUUGACUUUUGAUUAAAGGUUUUCUGCAAUGUGCUGCACUCAUAGAAGUUAUACACGGUGCCAUUGGUGCUGAGCGGAGCAUUGUUUCCUCUGAUGCAAUGGACAGGAAGGGCUCAGUUUGUGGUUGUCAUUGUUCAAACUAUUGAUGAGGAGUUACCUUCUUUUUUUAUAACUUUUCUUGCAUGGAGUAUAGCCGAGGUAAUGUUUUUAUUCGAUUGGAUUCAUUUAUGUUGAGUAUGGUUCUUAUUCACCGAUAUGUAGACACACACUCAAGCCUGUUUUUUAAGAGCCAUGAUUGCUACUUGAACAAUUUAAUUACUACCAUGACCUUGCUGUUUAAAUUAUUAUAAGAUCUCGUCGAACAAUUUAUGCUAUGUAUUAAGUU
Trifolium pratense (red clover) is the source of this 6134-nucleotide long non-coding RNA. RefSeq lists it as uncharacterized. The record is from RefSeq and is a predicted model, not a curated record. Lineage: Eukaryota; Viridiplantae; Streptophyta; Magnoliopsida; Fabales; Fabaceae. The transcript has 3 exons.